CGGACGGGUGAGUAAUGUCUGGGAAACUGCCCGAUGGAGGAGGAUAACUACUGGAAACGGUAGCUAAUACCGCAUAACGUCGCAAGACCAAAGAGGGGGACCUUCGGGCCUCUUGCCAUCGGAUGUGCCCAGAUGGGAUUAGCUAGUAGGUGGGGUAACGGCUCACCUAGGCGACGAUCCCUAGCUGGUCUGAGAGGAUGAUCAGCCACACUGGAACUGAGACACGGUCCAG
RNAcentral lists this ribosomal RNA (232 nucleotides) under uncultured bacterium. RNAcentral describes it as "partial 16S ribosomal RNA". It matches the Rfam family "Bacterial small subunit ribosomal RNA", at positions 99 to 334 of the family's 1533-position model. The record is from RNAcentral.